AGAACGAACGCUGGCGGCAGGCUUAACACAUGCAAGUCGAGCGCUGUAGCAAUACAGAGCGGCAGACGGGUGAGUAACGCGUGGGAACAUACCCUCCGGUUCGGAAUAACUCAGGGAAACUUGAGCUAAUACCGAAUACGGUCGAGAGGCGAAAGAUUUAUCGCCGGAGGAUUGGCCCGCGUUCGAUUAGCUAGUUGGUGAGGUAACGGCUCACCAAGGCGACGAUCGAUAGCUGGUCUGAGAGGAUGAUCAGCCACAUUGGGACUGAGACACGGCCCAAACUCCUACGGGAGGCAGCAGUGGGGAAUAUUGGACAAUGGGCGAAAGCCUGAUCCAGCCAUGCCGCGUGAGUGAUGACGGCCUUAGGGUUGUAAAGCUCUUUCGCUAGGGACGAUAAUGACGGUACCUAGACAAGAAGCCCGGCUAACUUCGUGCCAGCAGCCGC
This 445-nucleotide ribosomal RNA is filed under the name uncultured bacterium. RNAcentral's name for it is "SSU rRNA". It matches the Rfam family "Bacterial small subunit ribosomal RNA", at positions 26 to 518 of the family's 1533-position model. The record is from RNAcentral.